AUAUGCUUUUUCUGGCAGAAACAUAAUUCUUGAUAUGAAGUUAAUAAUUAAUCACUUUUUCCAAUACUUAUUUUUCCUUGUGAAAAUAAUUAAAAUAUUCACUGAAAACGCAUUUGUUAUCAAAUGUGAUAGUAUGUAUCGCAAGACUUCGCUAUGUGCAAGAUGUAUAGCAAGGGAAAGUCCAAUUCUAUUUUUAGCCAACGACUGGCCAUAUAUAG
Molecule: long non-coding RNA, 218 nt
Filed under: Mytilus galloprovincialis (Mediterranean mussel)
Lineage: Eukaryota; Metazoa; Mollusca; Bivalvia; Mytilida; Mytilidae
Source: RNAcentral